This 3327-nucleotide long non-coding RNA is filed under the name Sus scrofa (pig). RNAcentral's name for it is "lncRNA (ENSSSCG00035077769.1)". Lineage: Eukaryota; Metazoa; Chordata; Mammalia; Artiodactyla; Suidae. The record is from RNAcentral.
GGAGCUGCAGCUGCUGUCCUACACUGUAGCUGCAGCAAUGCCAGAUCCAAGCCGUGUCUGCCACCUACACCACAGCUUGCGGCAACACCAGAUCCUUAAUCCACAGAGCAAGGUCAGGAAUCAAACCUGCAUCUUCAUGGACACUAUGUGAGGUUCUUAACUUGCUGAGCCACAACAGGAACUCCAAAUUUAUUUUAGUUGCACUAUAGUUGAUUUACAAUGCUCUGUUAGUUUCUGGUGUCCAGCAAAGUGAUUCAGGUAUAUAUACACACACAUAUAUUCUUUCUCACAUUUUUUUCCCUUCUAGAUUAUUACAAGCUCUUACGUAUUGCUCCCUGUACUCUUGUUUCCUAGUAGCUCUUAGGACGCAAGUGUUAUCCCGAAGGCCAUACUAGCCAGGCUCGUGAACAUUUUGCUUCGACAUGAAUGUGUUAGGGCUGCUUUAGUGAACUGGAUAGACAUAAAAAACCAAAAAUGCAUCCUUGUAAAGUGGAGAAAUUAAGCUGUGCAAAAUAAGGAUGCUUCAUUUUACAAACAAAAAAACGAAAACAAAAACCUGACCAACAAGUUACUUAAAAUAGUAGAUUCCGCCCCUCCCUUUUCUUUUCUUUUUCAGCUGCACCCAGGCUAGGGGUUGAAUCCAAGCCACAGCUGCGGCAAUGCCAGAUCCUCAACCCACUGUGCCACAGCUGGAACUCCCAUUUUAACGUGAAAUGUCACACUCUCUGCACCCAGUCUCUGCAGGGGUAACUUCUCAGGGAGGAAGGUUUGCACCUUCAGUCCCUAGGGAAGGAUGCGACUUUGCAUCUGGGCACCUGCUGGUUUCUACUCCUGUGGGCUGGAGCCUUAGCCAUGGUCCAGAAUCAACCCCUAGAGAAUUUCACUGUUCCCUGCUAGCAUUCCCAUAGAUGAAAAACUUCCUUUUAAACUCAGCUUCCAAGACAGACACCAGGAUUUGUAACUCUUGCCCAAGCCGAAAAUUAGUGUCCUUCCUGUGACAGAGCCUGUGUUUGUCUGAUGAUCAGCCUGUUUUCAAGUCCAGGCUCCUCCACAUGUUCCGUGGCUCCGUUCUUUGAAUAGAUUGAUGAGUGGCGAAUCCCUGUUUAAAUCUGCCAUGGAAUUCCUCCCUUGCUGCAGAGGGCGGGUCUACACCGCCAGCAUCCUCUCCUUCCAUCAAGAUGCAAGGUGUGGGAGUUCAUGUUGUGGCUCAGCAAUAAUGAACCUGACUAGUAUCCAUGAGGAGGCGAGUUUGAUCCCUGGCCUUGCUUAGUGGGUUAAGGAUCCGGCGUUGCUGCAAGCAGGUCAUAGACGUGGCUCAGAUCUGGUGUGGCUGUGGCUGUGGCAUAGGCCAGUGGCUACAGCUCUGAUUUGACCCCUAGCCCGGCAACUUCCACAUGCCAUGGGUGUGGCCCUAAAAAGACACACACACACACAAAUGCAGGGUGUGUUGGGGGGGGCCUCUGGUUCUUUGAUUGCUGUGGCUUUUUUUUUUUUUUUUUAAACUAAGCUCAUCUGCCUUCUUUAGGCGUCAAGCAUGUUGCCUAGGCCGUGUCCAUGGUCAGUGGUGUUUUUAUUUUAUUAUAAUGUAAUGAUUGUAGGCAGUUGUGGGUAAAUGGCUUAGCUAAGUGCUUUUGAAUCCCAUACCCAGUCUCUGAUUAUACUUGUGUCCCAUCUUGAUGAAAUUCAAAUAAACAGCUCUCUGGCAUGAAAGGCCCUCUAUUAGAUUUAUUUCUAAAUUCUUUUAAGUGUGUCAGCAGGUAGCCCCCAGGAUGUCACAGGAAGGCACAGGCCGUCAACCUCCGUGGUGGCGGUGAAUUAGUCUGAAUCUAUUGGAAAUGAAAAGUUCAGACAGCACAGAUGGAAGAGAUUGAACUAGUGGCUCAGAAUGAAUAGAAAGGGCAGGUGUGUCUGGCGCUUUACGGGCAGAGAGAGGCCCAUGCGUUGACAGUGUCAUAAUGUACAGCUCUUCAGAGAUGCUGGGGGCCCCUUGUUCCAAAAGGCGAGUCUGUUUCCUGUCAUUUCAUGGGGCAGGGAGAUUGCUGGCAGGUCUCCAGCAAGGAUGCAGUUUCCCUGGUUGGCAUUGAACUUGACAUCCCCACCUGAUUUGGGUGCUUGAAAGGUAGGGAGGACUAUGUCUGCAGUUUGUGGCUUUCCGAGUCAGUCUUUUGAAAGGAGUUCCCGUUGUGGUACAACGGGACCUAAGGUGUUUCUGGACUCCUGGGUUGCAGGUUCGAUCCCCGGCCAGCACAGUGGGUUAAAGAUUGGGUGUUGCCUCAGCUGCGGCAUAGGUUGAAACUACUGCUCAGAUCUGGGAACUCCCUAUGCCACAGGGUGGCCAAAAAAGAAGAAGGCAAAAAGAGCAGCUCUGCUAGGCAGAGCAUUCCUAAGCUUCUCCCACUGGAAGAGUCAAAGGCUUGUCAGAGUGUAAUGAUUUCAACAUUUGAGGUUGUAAACAUUUUUGCAAGUUUAAAACAUAAUGUAACAAAGUAAGCCAAAUACUGUUUAAUUUGUUGGAGUCAGUAACUUGGUGCAGCUGGAGUGAAGACGGAUUGUGAGAAACUGAUAACCACACACACAUUCAGUGGAAAAAGUAAAAGCAUGCUGGAAUAGAAUUACAAAGUUGGCCGACCUGUGGGCAGUAAAACAGUAACCCCUGAGGUUUUCUUUUCCACGAGGCAGAGAUAAUUUGCAUCUCUCCUGGACAGAAGUUGUUUGCAGCUUAUUAAUCCUCUACCAGUUAAAUCUCCAGUUACAGAGUCUGGGCCUAAUCAAUACUAAAUAGUAAGUCCAACAGAGUCCCCUUUCCCUAGAGGAACCCGUGACAUUUCGGUGGGGUUGUUGCAUGUUCUCAUGUAACUUUGAAAGGGCAUGCGCUGAGCUUGUUGCCUUGUUUCUGAACCGUGCAUGCAGGAUUUGUCUUAACAGAUUGCCUUCUUCAAAGGCAGACAGGGUGAUGGGUGAUGGAAAUGGGGUGGGUGGGGGGCAGAUCGGGUGGGGCAGCCACUUCCCAAGGCCAAGGGCUUGUUCCCAAGUGCAUUGUGAAUGCUUUGUGGCUGGAAAUUCCAACCUGUCCAUGGGAAACUGUCAAUCCUAGUGUUUAUGGGAAAUAUCCCAAUUAAAAAAUGCCAGGGAGUUCCUACUGUGGCUCAGUGGGUUAAGAAUCUGACUACAGACCUGGGGUUUGAUCCCUGGCUUGGCACAGUGGGUUAAGGGAUUCAGCAUUGCUGCAGUUGCGGUGUAGGUUGCUGCAGUUGCGGCUCGGAUUCAGUUCCUGGCCUGGGAACUUGCAUAUGCUGUUGGUACGGCCAAAAAAAAAAAAAAAAAAAA